This 396-nucleotide ribosomal RNA is filed under the name uncultured bacterium. Its description in RNAcentral is "bacterial SSU rRNA". It matches the Rfam family "Bacterial small subunit ribosomal RNA", at positions 30 to 429 of the family's 1533-position model. The record is from RNAcentral.
AUUGAACGCUGGCGGCAUGCCUUACACAUGCAAGUCGAACGGCAGCACGGGAGCAAUCCUGGUGGCGAGUGGCGAACGGGUGAGUAAUAUAUCGGAACGUGCCCAGUCGUGGGGAUAACGUAGCGAAAGCUACGCUAAUACCGCAUACGAUCUAUGGAUGAAAGCGGGGGAUCGCAAGACCUCGCGCGAUUGGAGCGGCCGAUAUCAGAUUAGGUAGUUGGUGAGGUAAAGGCUCACCAAGCCGACGAUCUGUAGCUGGUCUGAGAGGACGACCAGCCACACUGGGACUGAGACACGGCCCAGACUCCUACGGGAGGCAGCAGUGGGGAAUUUUGGACAAUGGGCGCAAGCCUGAUCCAGCAAUGCCGCGUGAGUGAUGAAGGCCUCGGUUGUAAG